Molecule: non-coding RNA, 1173 nt
Organism: Parasteatoda tepidariorum (common house spider)
Lineage: Eukaryota; Metazoa; Arthropoda; Arachnida; Araneae; Theridiidae
Source: RefSeq, a predicted model, not a curated record
AGUUUUAUUUUUAUGAUUUAAUUGAAAUGUUGAAUUUGAUCAUUAUUAAUUUAAAUCACUUUGAAAAUUAAGAUUACAGAAAUCACACUUUCGACCAAUCUUCUGGCAAACUAGAAUGUGAUUAACCCUUAUUUUUUGAGGGAUAGAAAGCUAGGUUCAGUAAAAGGAUUAUCUAUAAUAUACCACAAUGAAGCAUAUUGGUGCCCAGUUUGUGAUUACAAAUCCGACCGAAAAGGGAAUGUGAAAAUUCACUUGGUACAGCACAUUGGAGGAAGACCUUACAUUUGCAGCUUUUGUAAUAAAAGUUUCCCUCGUAAGCAUCACUUGAAAGACCACUUAUAUUUACACCAAGAAAACCCUUCAUUUUCUUGUUUGAAAUGCUUAAAAAAGUUUCAAACUAGAAGGAAACUACGCCUUCAUCUACAAAGCUUCCAUACAUAAAUAUAUUCAUUCAAGUUUUAGCUCUUCUAAAAUGUUGUUUUGAAUACAUCAAAAGGCAACUUUAUAUGAAGUGUGCUUGCACAUAAUUAUUGAAAAACCAGUCUUCUUUCAUAAUUGGUACCUAUUUACCAUUUGUCCCAAAAAUGUUAGACGAUUUGAAAAAUCCUUUAAAAGAAAAAACGGAGAGAAAAAUGACAUUUUGCUGCAUUCUGGUAAGGAAAACAAGAAACCUUUCUCACUAAGCUUCAAAAUUAAUUACAAGAGAUGACUAUUGACUACAAAAAUAUUAAGGAAAAUGUUUUGUUUGGUUUGUCAGAAUGGAAAAGAAUACUGGCGAAAACAUUGUUUUAAUAAUUUUACUCAGUUAGCAAAAAAAAAAAAAAAAAACUGUUAAAAACUCAAACUAAUUUUGAAAAUUAGCUAGAAUAAAUUUGUUCUCUGUGCAGAAUGGUACAAAUCGUAUAUUUCAAUUUCCUUCUUCAUUUUUGUGGAUUUUUAAAAUCACUGGUCGGUUUUGUACUCAAACUAAAGAGUUUUUACAAAAUACCUUUUUAGAACUUACUAGUAACCUAGUAUUUAGCCUGAAUGAAUAAAGCAAGAAUAUUAAUUAUUAGGUUUGUCAUAAAGAAACAUUUCAAUUUGAUUAAAAAGUUGUGUUUUGUGAAAAGUGAAAUGAUUGUGAUAUUAUGAAACUACUGCUUAUUACCUAAUAAAAUUUCUUUUGAACUUCUA